UACGGAGGUGGCAAGCGUUGCUCGGAAUUACUGGGCGUAAAGCGCACGUAGGCGGCUUUCUAAGUCGGGGGUGAAAUCCUGGAGCUCAACUCCAGAACUGCCUUCGAUACUGGAAAGCUCGAGUCCGGGAGAGGUGAGUGGAACUGCGAGUGUAGAGGUGAAAUUCGUAGAUAUUCGCAAGAACACCAGUGGCGAAGGCGGCUCACUGGCCCGGUACUGACGCUGAGGUGCGAAAGCGUGGGGAGCAAACAGG
RNAcentral lists this ribosomal RNA (253 nucleotides) under uncultured bacterium. Its description in RNAcentral is "partial 16S ribosomal RNA". It matches the Rfam family "Bacterial small subunit ribosomal RNA", at positions 524 to 776 of the family's 1533-position model. The record is from RNAcentral.